GGAGGGAGCUAGCGUUGUUCGGAUAUACUGGGCGUAAAGCGCACGUAGGCGGCGCCGUAAGUCAGGGGUGAAAUCCCGGAGCUCAACUCCGGAACUGCCCUUGAAACUGCAGUGCUAGAAUCCUGGAGAGGCGAGUGGAAUUCCGAGUGUAGAGGUGAAAUUCGUAGAUAUUCGGAAGAACACCAGUGGCGAAGGCGGCUCACUGGACUGGUAUUGACGCUGAGGUGCGAAAGCGUGGGGAGCAAACAGG
Molecule: ribosomal RNA, 250 nt
Filed under: uncultured bacterium
Lineage: Bacteria
Description: partial 16S ribosomal RNA
Rfam family: Bacterial small subunit ribosomal RNA
Source: RNAcentral